Phrynosoma platyrhinos (Desert horned lizard) is the source of this 71-nucleotide non-coding RNA. The record is from the annotation of a GenBank genome assembly. Lineage: Eukaryota; Metazoa; Chordata; Lepidosauria; Squamata; Phrynosomatidae.
GCUGGUAUGGUGUAGUGGUUUGAGCACUAGACUAUUACUCUGGAGACCGCAGGUCAAUUCCCAGCUCAGCC